Molecule: ribosomal RNA, 3009 nt
Filed under: Streptomyces seoulensis
Lineage: Bacteria; Bacillati; Actinomycetota; Actinomycetes; Kitasatosporales; Streptomycetaceae
Description: bacterial LSU rRNA
Rfam family: Bacterial large subunit ribosomal RNA
Source: RNAcentral
AGGGCGCACGGUGGAUGCCUUGGCACCAGGAACCGAUGAAGGACGUGGGAGGCCACGAUAGUCCCCGGGGAGCCGUCAACCAGGCUUUGAUCCGGGGGUUUCCGAAUGGGGAAACCCGGCAGUCGUCAUGGGCUGUCACCCGCUGCUGAACACAUAGGCAGUGUGGAGGGAACGAGGGGAAGUGAAACAUCUCAGUACCCUCAGGAAGAGAAAACAACCGUGAUUCCGGGAGUAGUGGCGAGCGAAACCGGAUGAGGCCAAACCGUAUACGUGUGAGACCCGGCAGGGGUUGCGUGUGCGGGGUUGUGGGAUCUCUCUUCUGUCGUCUGCCGGCGACAGGACGAGUCAGAAACCGUUGAUGUAGGCGAAGGACAUGCGAAAGGUCCGGCGUAGAGGGUAAGACCCCCGUAGUCGAAACAUCAGCGGCUCGUUUGAGAGACACCCAAGUAGCACGGGGCCCGAGAAAUCCCGUGUGAAUCUGGCGGGACCACCCGCUAAGCCUAAAUAUUCCCUGGUGACCGAUAGCGGAUAGUACCGUGAGGGAAUGGUGAAAAGUACCGCGGGAGCGGAGUGAAAUAGUACCUGAAACCGUGUGCCUACAAGCCGUGGGAGCGUCGCGCAUUGAGUUUACUCAGUGCGUCGUGACUGCGUGCCUUUUGAAGAAUGAGCCUGCGAGUUUGCGGUGUGUUGCGAGGUUAACCCGUGUGGGGAAGCCGUAGCGAAAGCGAGUCCGAAUAGGGCGAUUCAGUAGCGCGCUCAAGACCCGAAGCGGAGUGAUCUAGCCAUGGGCAGGUUGAAGCGGAGGUAAGACUUCGUGGAGGACCGAACCCACCAGGGUUGAAAACCUGGGGGAUGACCUGUGGUUAGGGGUGAAAGGCCAAUCAAACUCCGUGAUAGCUGGUUCUCCCCGAAAUGCAUUUAGGUGCAGCGUCGUGUGUUUCUUGCCGGAGGUAGAGCACUGGAUAGGCGAUGGGCCCUACCGGGUUACUGACCUUAGCCAAACUCCGAAUGCCGGUAAGUGAGAGCACGGCAGUGAGACUGUGGGGGAUAAGCUCCAUGGUCGAGAGGGAAACAGCCCAGAGCAUCGACUAAGGCCCCUAAGCGUACGCUAAGUGGGAAAGGAUGUGGAGUCGCAGAGACAACCAGGAGGUUGGCUUAGAAGCAGCCACCCUUGAAAGAGUGCGUAAUAGCUCACUGGUCUAGUGAUUCCGCGCCGACAAUGUAGCGGGGCUCAAGCGUACCGCCGAAGUCGUGUCAUUCAUACAAUAGGGCCAACGCCUGUAUGGAUGGGUAGGGGAGCGUCGUGUGCCGGGUGAAGCAGCCGCGGAAGCGAGUUGUGGACGGUUCACGAGUGAGAAUGCAGGCAUGAGUAGCGAUACAAACGUGAGAAACGUUUGCGCCGAUUGACUAAGGGUUCCUGGGUCAAGCUGAUCUGCCCAGGGUAAGUCGGGACCUAAGGCGAGGCCGACAGGCGUAGUCGAUGGAUAACCGGUUGAUAUUCCGGUACCCGCUGUGAAGCGUCAAACAUCGAGCAUCGUGAUGCUAAGGCCGUGAAGCCGUUCCGGACCCUUCGGGGAAUGGAAAGUGGUGGAGCCGCCGGCCCAAGCGGUUAGUAGGUGAGUGAUGGGGUGACGCAGGAAGGUAGUCCAGCCCAGGCGGUGGUUGUCCUGGGGUAAGGGUGUAGGACGCAAGGUAGGCAAAUCCGCCUUGCACAUAGUCUGAGACCUGAUGCCGAGCCGAUUGUGGUGAAGUGGAUGAUCCUAUGCUGUCGAGAAAAGCCUCUAGCGAGUUUCAUGGCGGCCCGUACCCUAAACCGACUCAGGUGGUCAGGUAGAGAAUACCGAGGCGUUCGGGUGAACUAUGGUUAAGGAACUCGGCAAAAUGCCCCCGUAACUUCGGGAGAAGGGGGGCCAUCACUGGUGAUCGGAUUUACUCCGUGAGCUGGGGGUGGCCGCAGAGACCAGCGAGAAGCGACUGUUUACUAAAAACACAGGUCCGUGCGAAGCCGUAAGGCGAUGUAUACGGACUGACGCCUGCCCGGUGCUGGAACGUUAAGGGGACCGGUUAGUCACUCUUCGGGGUGGCGAAGCUGAGAACUUAAGCGCCAGUAAACGGCGGUGGUAACUAUAACCAUCCUAAGGUAGCGAAAUUCCUUGUCGGGUAAGUUCCGACCUGCACGAAUGGCGUAACGACUUCUCGACUGUCUCAACCAUAGGCCCGGUGAAAUUGCACUACGAGUAAAGAUGCUCGUUUCGCGCAGCAGGACGGAAAGACCCCGGGACCUUUACUACAGUUUGAUAUUGGUGUUCGGUUCGGCUUGUGUAGGAUAGCUGGGAGACUUUGAAGCAUGCACGCCAGUGUGUGUGGAGUCGUCGUUGAAAUACCAGUCUGGUCGUGCUGGAUGUCUAACCUGGGUCCGUGAUCCGGAUCAGGGACAGUGUCUGAUGGGUAGUUUAACUGGGGCGGUUGCCUCCUAAAGAGUAACGGAGGCGCCCAAAGGUUCCCUCAGCCUGGUUGGCAAUCAGGUGUUGAGUGUAAGUGCACAAGGGAGCUUGACUGUGAGACCGACGGGUCGAGCAGGGACGAAAGUCGGGACUAGUGAUCCGGCGGUGGCUUGUGGAAGCGCCGUCGCUCAACGGAUAAAAGGUACCCCGGGGAUAACAGGCUGAUCUUCCCCAAGAGUCCAUAUCGACGGGAUGGUUUGGCACCUCGAUGUCGGCUCGUCGCAUCCUGGGGCUGGAGUCGGUCCCAAGGGUUGGGCUGUUCGCCCAUUAAAGCGGUACGCGAGCUGGGUUUAGAACGUCGUGAGACAGUUCGGUCCCUAUCCGCUGUGCGCGUAGGAAUAUUGAGAAGGGCUGUCCCUAGUACGAGAGGACCGGGACGGACGAACCUCUGGUGUGCCAGUUGUCCUGCCAAGGGCAUGGCUGGUUGGCUACGUUCGGGAGGGAUAACCGCUGAAAGCAUCUAAGCGGGAAGCCUGCUUCGAGAUGAGUAUUCCCACCUCCUUGA